This 2010-nucleotide long non-coding RNA is filed under the name Homo sapiens (human). RNAcentral's name for it is "HSALNT0288114". Lineage: Eukaryota; Metazoa; Chordata; Mammalia; Primates; Hominidae. The record is from RNAcentral.
UUUUACUAGAAGAGAGCUUUUUCUUUUACUCAUCUCUUUUGUUUUAAUCUCAUCGUUGGUGCCAUAGCUUCUUAAUUUUUUUUUGGAUGUAAUACAAAAGUCUUUGGGUAUAAUAUCAUAUGAAGGGAUACUACUAUAUCUUGGUGCAUUGGUGGGACUACAACAUAUAUUGAUGCAUGGGCUGAGAAACAAAUAAUUCAUAAGAGGGUGUCCUCCAUGGAUACAAUCAUAAUCUUCACCCAUGGUUCCAGAGGAGCUAGUAAGAAGGAGAAGUAAUGUUCACCUGCACAAGGCGUUAGCUCUCCACUAGUGAUCCUUUGUUGGUCUCCUAAGCAUACUCAACCCAGAAGAUUCCAAAGGACUCAGGAACAGCCACAGCAAAAAGAGAUGAUGCAAAAUAAAGACAAAGACCAGUGACCCAAUUACAGGCCCAUAAAAUCCAAGAUACUUGACAUUCACCUGUAAACUCCUCUCAGUGAGGUAAGCCAGGGUACCUUAGGAAGAAUGGCUAAGGCAUCAAAAUGUAGCUACCUUGACCCUUUCCAUCCUGUGUUGGUGACUACUACAUGUUGGACUGCCUCCAAGAGUGUUCAUCACAGUGUGGGGCCAGUUUCCCAGAUGGUCCAGUAGACUAAUGCAUCCCAGAUCUCAAUUCCCACACUUCAUUUAUUGCCAUCUCAUUAAUGCACCACAAUGUAGCAAUCUCUCAUUGUGAGGUGUCAAGCAGAGCUCUUUGUCUCAUGGCCAAGAAAAUUAAGGAGCAUGGAUGCAAACAGGUUGAAGCAAAAGUUUUAUAAGUGAAAGUAAAAAGCUCUUUACAGUGGAGGUGGGGUGUAAGUUGUUUGCCUACUAUAAGGCUGGGCUUCAGGGUUGAUAAAGACAGAAAAUGAAAGAAAUGUGCUUAGUGGUCUUGGAGAAACAUUACUCAGCUUGGCCCUGCACUUUGGCUGGGGAUUCAUCAGGAGGUUAAGUAAUGAUUUAUAGAUACAACUUAGCUUGGCCUUCAUCCUUUGCCCUGGACCAAGCAGCAGCUAAAGUGAAAGCUUGGUCUGAUACCUUGGCCUGGGACCAAUAACAUGCUGAAGUGUUGUUUCAUGACCAAGAUAAUUAAUGAAACUACACAUAAAGUUCAGAUAAGACAGAAGUUUAAUAAUCAAAAGAAGAAAGCUGUUCACAUUAAAGAAGGGACCCAUGAGACUUUCCAACUAUAAUGCUGGGUCUGAGGUUUUUGUGAACUGGAAAGAAAGAAAUAUUCUGAGUUGCAUGUGGGCUAUCUUGAAGAAAGCAGUAAUCAGCUUGGUUCAGGACCUGACCUGGGACAAAUCAGAGGAUGAAAUAAAAGCUUUGUUUGGGGCAUUGCAUCAGGAAAACACAGAAGCUGAAGGGAUGAUUCAGAAACACUUGGCUCACAGGUCAAAACAUAUUCAAAGUAGAAAAGUGUCCCAGCAGAGCCCACUAGAGCCUACUAGGUAUCAUGCCCACAAAGACAGAAUUGUCUAUUUUUUUGAAGCCUGCUGAUUAUAUGAAUGACAAAGGUAUCUCUACAUGUGGCCUUCCUCCCCUAUCUGUGCAGCUGUGCAUAUGUUUUAGGCAAAAACGCAAAGGCAUUUUCAUGUUCUUUCCUGUUUUCUGAUUAUUGCAGCUGUGAACAUGUCUUUUGCUACUCUCCUCUUCUAGUUCUCUUACAGUUGCCUGCAACUUAACUUUUCAGUCUGUUUCUGUGCUUAAAAGAGUUUUACCAAGAACCCUUCCUAGUUUCCUGUUUUUUCUCUCCCACAUCAUGAAGGUAAAUUUAAUGUGUUUUGUGCAUAAAACAAAGCUGUGUGAAGAAAUAUUCUGUGGAGCUUUCCGCUUGUGUCAUGUCAUCACUCAAGUUUCACAUUGGAGUACAUUUAAUGUUUUUAUGUUAGCAAUGUUCAACCUGCACUUUCUUCUUUUAAAAUAAACGACUUUGAAAAAGAGAAUAAAUUGUUUUAAUUCUUAGAUCAUUUGGUAGAAUUUGACAGUGGA